Molecule: long non-coding RNA, 423 nt
Organism: Apodemus sylvaticus (European woodmouse)
Lineage: Eukaryota; Metazoa; Chordata; Mammalia; Rodentia; Muridae
Exons: 3
Source: RefSeq, a predicted model, not a curated record
AACCCCGGGGAUCCAUUAAGACACUGCAUUGCUUCUGGUAGAUUGGAAAGCCAGCCUCCGCCCCUGGCAUCCAUCACCCUGGAAGCGACUCGUGAUCGCUCUUUCCUCGGGUGUUUGCCGGUUAUGUGAGUGUGCAUAUUCCGCUGUCCAUCACCAGACUGGGUAAAACCCAAUCUCCAGGGAGAUGAGCUCUAAAGUGGAGAACCCAUGGUGCAAGAAAACUAACAGAAAGAAAUCCUCUAUUGCUCUCAUCCCUGGAACGUGCUGUAUUAUGAAAUACAGGAUUGACACAGAAGAUGAUCUGGUGAAACAGCUCAGAGGGCAAGGACACUUGCCAAACGAGAUGACUGGAGUUCAAUCUUGGAACCCACCUGAUGGAAGAGAGCCAACUCCCAAAAGUCGGCCUCUGAUCUUCACCUACAC